Molecule: ribosomal RNA, 442 nt
Filed under: uncultured bacterium
Lineage: Bacteria
Description: partial 16S ribosomal RNA
Rfam family: Bacterial small subunit ribosomal RNA
Source: RNAcentral
CCUACGGGAGGCAGCAGUGGGGCAUAUUGGGCAAUGGGCGCAAGCCUGACCCAGCAACGCCGCGUGAAGGAAGAAGGCUUUCGGGUUGUAAACUUCUUUUGUCAGGGAAGAGUAGAAGACGGUACCUGACGAAUAAGCCACGGCUAACUACGUGCCAGCAGCCGCGGUAAUACGUAGUUGGCAAGCGUUGUCCGGAUUUACUGGGUGUAAAGGGCGUGUAGCCGGGUUGACACGUCAGAUGUGAAAUCCUGCGGCUUAACCGCAGCACUGCAUUUGAAACUGUUGAUCGUGAGUACUGGAGAGGCAGACGGAAUCCCUAGUGUAGCGGUGAAAUGCGUAGAUAUUAGGAGGAACACCAGUGGCGAAGGCGGUCUGCUGGACAGCAACUGACGGUGAGGCGCGAAAGCGUGGGGAGCAAACAGGAUUAGAUACCCCGGUAGUC